This is a small nucleolar RNA of Oryctolagus cuniculus (rabbit), 234 nucleotides long. RefSeq annotates it as small nucleolar RNA SNORD17. Lineage: Eukaryota; Metazoa; Chordata; Mammalia; Lagomorpha; Leporidae. The record is from RefSeq and is a predicted model, not a curated record.
GUGAAAUGAUGAUUCAGUUUAUCCAUUCGCUGAGUGCGCUGUACUGACCGUCUUCCAAACCUCAGUUCCUGUUCUAGGAGCUGGGGCUGUGCAGCCUCCAAAUGCCCUGCAGCCUGCAGUGUUCUACUGUGGGCUGCUCGGGUGUUGGUUGGCUGCUGGUGAGAACGGCUAGUGACAGCAGGGGUGAGGCCCUCUGGGCCCAUCUCACCAAGAUGAGUGGUAAAAUCUGAUCAC